Molecule: ribosomal RNA, 497 nt
Filed under: uncultured bacterium
Lineage: Bacteria
Description: partial 16S ribosomal RNA
Rfam family: Bacterial small subunit ribosomal RNA
Source: RNAcentral
GACGAACGCUGGCGGCGUGCCUAAUACAUGCAAGUUGAGCGCUGAAGGUUGGUACUUGUACCAACUGGAUGAGCAGCGCACGGGUGAGUCACGCGUGGGGCCUCCGCCUUUGAGCGGGGGACAACAUUUGGAAACGAAUGCUAAUACCGCAUAAAAACUUUAAACACAAGUUUUAAGUUUGAAAGAUGCAAUUGCAUCACUCAAAGAUGAUCCCGCGUUGUAUUAGCUAGUUGGUGAGGUAAAGGCUCACCAAGGCGAUGAUACAUAGCCGACCUGAGAGGGUGGGCGGCCACAUUGGGACGGUGACACGGCACAAACUCCUACGGGAGGCAGCAGUAGGGAAUCGGCGGCAAUGGACGAAAGUCUGUCCGAGAAACGCCGCGGGAGGGAAGAGGGUUUUCGGAUCGUAAAACUCGGUUGGUAGAGAAGAACGUGGGUGAGAGUGGAAAGCUCAUCAAGUGACGGUAACUACCCAGAAAGCGACGGCUAACUACGUG